This 95-nucleotide non-coding RNA is filed under the name Candidatus Pararuminococcus gallinarum. RNAcentral describes it as "THF riboswitch". It matches the Rfam family "THF (Tetrahydrofolate) riboswitch aptamer". Rfam says of the family: THF riboswitch presents a pseudoknot that joins P1-P2 and the loop of P3 and two THF binding. Lineage: Bacteria; Bacillati; Bacillota; Clostridia. The record is from RNAcentral.
GCAGAGUAGAAGCCCGUGCGUUAAGUGCUGUCCGAACGGGGAGUUGUCGGAUGGACGAAAAGGAAACUUGCGGUACGUGCUUCGCAUCCCGCUGC